Molecule: ribosomal RNA, 1015 nt
Filed under: human gut metagenome
Description: bacterial LSU rRNA
Rfam family: Bacterial large subunit ribosomal RNA
Source: RNAcentral
AAGCCCCAGUAAACGGCGGCCGUAACUAUAACGGUCCUAAGGUAGCGAAAUUCCUUGUCAGGUAAGUUCUGACCCGCAUGAAAGGCGUAAUGAUCUGGGCACUGUCUCAACAGCCCGCCCGGCGAAAUUGUAGUACCGGUGAAGAUGCCGGUUACCCGCGACAAGACGGAAAGACCCCAUGGAGCUUUACUGUAGCCUAAUAUUGGGUUUCGAUGUUGCAUGCACAGGAUAGAUGGGACUCUUGGAAACCAAGGCUUUGGCUUUGGCGGAGAGGCCGUUGGGAUACCAUCCUUGCGAUAUUGGAAUUCUAACCUGCGCCUUUGAAUCAAGGCGGGGGACAUUGUUAGGUGGGCAGUUUGACUGGGGCGGUCGCCUCCUAAAGAGUAACGGAGGCGUUCAAAGGUUCGCUCAGCUUGAACGGAAAUCAAGCAAAAGAGUGCAAACGCAGAAGCGAGCCUAACUGCGAGACUGACGGGUCGAGCAGUAACGAAAGUUGGAGUUAGUGAUCCGGUGGUAUGUGAGUGGAAAUGCCAUCGCUCAACGGAUAAAAGUUACCCUGGGGAUAACAGGCUGAUCUCCCCCAAGAGUCCACAUCGACGGGGAGGUUUGGCACCUCGAUGUCGGCUCAUCGCAUCCUGGGGCUGUAUUCGGUCCCAAGGGUUUGGCUGUUCGCCAAUUAAAGCGGUACGCGAGCUGGGUUCAGAACGUCGUGAGACAGUUCGGUCCCUAUCUGUCGUGGGCGCAGGAUAUUUGAUGGGAGCUGUUCCUAGUACGAGAGGACCGGAGCGGACGUACCUCUGGCGCACCAGUUGUUCUGCCAAGGGCAUAGCUGGGCAACUAUGUACGGAUCGGAUAAACGCUGAAAGCAUCUAAGCGUGAAGCCGACCCAAAGAUAAGAUAUCCCAUUGUUUCAAACAAGUAAGACCCCUUGAAGACUACAAGGUUGAUAGGCACGAUGUGUAAGUGGAGUGAUCCAUUCAGCAAGCGUGUACUAAUAGGUCGAGGGCUUGACCAC